AACGAACGCUGGCGGCGCGUUUUAAGCAUGCAAGUCGAGCGGUAAGGUCCUUCGGGACCCCAGAGCGGCGGACGGGUGAGUAACACGUGGAUAAUCUGCCUCUCAGUCCGGGAUAGCACAUGGAAACAUGUGAUAAUACCGGAUACGAUGUGCCUGUCACAUGGCGGGUACAGGAAAGGUCCUGCGGGAUCGCUGGGAGAUGAGUCCGCGGCCCAUUAGCUUGUUGGCGGGGUAAAGGCCCACCAAGGCGACGAUGGGUAGCCGGCCUGAGAGGGUGGACGGCCACAUUGGGACUGAGACACGGGCCCAGACUCCUACGGGAGGCAGCAGCUAAGAAUCUUCCACAAUGGACGAAAGUCUGACGGAGCAACGCCGCGUGAGUGAUGAAGGAUUUUCGGGUCUGUAAAGCUCUGUUGCUUAUGACGAACGUGCAGUGUGUGAACAACGC
This 448-nucleotide ribosomal RNA is filed under the name uncultured bacterium. Its description in RNAcentral is "bacterial SSU rRNA". It matches the Rfam family "Bacterial small subunit ribosomal RNA", at positions 29 to 467 of the family's 1533-position model. The record is from RNAcentral.